AUUGAACGCUGGCGGCAUGCUUUACACAUGCAAGUCGAACGGUAACAGGCCUUCGGGUGCUGACGAGUGGCGAACGGGUGAGUAAUGCAUCGGAACGUGCCCAAUCGUGGGGGAUAACGUAGCGAAAGUUACGCUAAUACCGCAUAAGCCCUGAGGGGGAAAGCAGGGGAUCGCAAGGCCUUGCGCGAAUGGAGCGGCCGAUGUCAGAUUAGCUAGUUGGUGGGGUAAAGGCCUACCAAGGCGACGAUCUGUAGCGGGUCUGAGAGGAUGAUCCGCCACACUGGGACUGAGACACGGCCCAGACUCCUACGGGAGGCAGCAGUGGGGAAUUUUGGACAAUGGGCGCAAGCCUGAUCCAGCCAUGCCGCGUGCGGGACGAAGGCCUCGGUUGUAACCGC
RNAcentral lists this ribosomal RNA (398 nucleotides) under uncultured bacterium. RNAcentral's name for it is "bacterial SSU rRNA". It matches the Rfam family "Bacterial small subunit ribosomal RNA", at positions 29 to 433 of the family's 1533-position model. The record is from RNAcentral.